GGAUGGGUACCAAAGCGGUCAAAUGGGACAGACUGUAAAUCUGUUGGCUCACGCCUUCGAAGGUUCAAAUCCUUCCCCAUCCA
Molecule: transfer RNA, 83 nt
Filed under: bacterium
Lineage: Bacteria
Description: tRNA-Tyr
Rfam family: tRNA
About the family: Transfer RNA (tRNA) molecules are approximately 80 nucleotides in length. Their secondary structure includes four short double-helical elements and three loops (D, anti-codon, and T loops). Further hydrogen bonds mediate the characteristic L-shaped molecular structure. tRNAs have two regions of fundamental functional importance: the anti-codon, which is responsible for specific mRNA codon recognition, and the 3' end, to which the tRNAs corresponding amino acid is attached (by aminoacyl-tRNA synthetases). tRNAs cope with the degeneracy of the genetic code in two manners: having more than one tRNA (with a specific anti-codon) for a particular amino acid; and 'wobble' base-pairing, i.e. permitting non-standard base-pairing at the 3rd anti-codon position.
Source: RNAcentral